RNAcentral lists this ribosomal RNA (402 nucleotides) under uncultured Methanosaeta sp. RNAcentral describes it as "bacterial SSU rRNA". It matches the Rfam family "Archaeal small subunit ribosomal RNA", at positions 937 to 1338 of the family's 1478-position model. The record is from RNAcentral. Lineage: Archaea; Methanobacteriati; Methanobacteriota; Methanomicrobia; Methanotrichales; Methanotrichaceae.
GGACAGCAAUAUGAAGGUCAGGCUGAAGACCUUACCCGAUUAGCUGAGAGGUGGUGCAUGGCCGUCGUCAGUUCGUACUGUGAAGCAUCCUGUUAAGUCAGGCAACGAGCGAGACCCACGUCCACAGUUGCCAGCAUACCCUCCGGGGUGAUGGGUACACUGUGGAGACCGCCGCUGCUAAAGCGGAGGAAGGAGUGGGCAACGGUAGGUCAGUAUGCCCCGAAUCUCCCGGGCUACACGCGGGCUACAAUGGUUGGUACAAUGGGCAUCUACCCCGAAAGGGGAAGGAAAUCUCUUAAAGCCAAUCGUAGUUCGGAUUGAGGGCUGCAACUCGCCCUCAUGAAGCUGGAAUCCGUAGUAAUCGCGUUUCAACAGAACGCGGUGAAUACGUCCCUGCUCCUU